AACGAACGCUGGCGGCAGGCCUAAAACAUGCAAGUCGAACGCCCCGCAAGGGGAGUUGCGCACGGGUGAGUAACGCGAGGGAACGUGCCCUUCACUACGGGAUAACGUCGGGAAACUGACGCAAAUACCGUAUAAUUACUCCGGUCCAACGAUUUAUCGGUGAAGAAGCGGCCCGCGUCUGAUUAGCUAGUUGGUGAGGUAAUGGCUCACCAAGGCUACGAUCAGUAGCAGGUCUGAGAGGAUGAUUUGUCACACUGGGACUGGAACACGUCCCAGACUCCUACGGGAGGCAGCAGUUAGGAAUAUUGGACAAUGUGCGAAAGCCUGAUCCAGCCAUGCCGCGUGUGUGUUGAAGGCCCUAGGGUUGUAAAGCACUUUCGUUGAGGAAGAUAAUGACUGUACUCAAAGAAGAAGCACCGGCUAACUUCGUGCCAGCCGCCGCAGUAA
RNAcentral lists this ribosomal RNA (447 nucleotides) under uncultured bacterium. RNAcentral's name for it is "partial 16S ribosomal RNA". It matches the Rfam family "Bacterial small subunit ribosomal RNA", at positions 29 to 523 of the family's 1533-position model. The record is from RNAcentral.